GCUUGUCUCAAAGAUUAAGCCAUGCAUGUCUAAGUAUAAGCGAUUAUACUGUGAAACUGCGAAUGGCUCAUUAUAUCAGUUAUAGUUUAUUUGAGAGUCCCUUACUACUUGGAUAACCGUAGUAAUUCUAGAGCUAAUACAUGCAUACAGAGGGAACUGCUUGCGGAACCCUCGCGGAUAUUAGAUAGAAACCAAUGCGGGGCAACCCGGUUUUGUGGUGAAUCAUGAUAUCUCAGCGGAUCGCAUGGCCUCGUGCCGGCGACGACUCAUUCAAGUUUCUGCCCUAUCAGCUUUGGAUGGUAGGGUAUUGGCCUACCAUGGCUUUAACGGGUAACGGAGAAUUGGGGUUCGGUUCCGGAGAGGGAGCCUGAGAAACGGCUACCACAUCCAAGGAAGGCAGCAGG
RNAcentral lists this ribosomal RNA (404 nucleotides) under uncultured Eustigmatophyceae. RNAcentral describes it as "partial small subunit ribosomal RNA". It matches the Rfam family "Eukaryotic small subunit ribosomal RNA", at positions 30 to 432 of the family's 1831-position model. Lineage: Eukaryota; Eustigmatophyceae. The record is from RNAcentral.